UACGAAGGGGGCUAGCGUUGUUCGGAAUUACUGGGCGUAAAGCGCACGUAGGCGGAUAUUUAAGUCAGGGGUGAAAUCCCGCAGCUCAACUGCGGAACUGCCUUUGAUACUGGGUAUCUAGAGUAUGGAAGAGGUGAGUGGAAUUCCGAGUGUAGAGGUGAAAUUCGUAGAUAUUCGGAGGAACACCAGUGGCGAAGGCGGCUCACUGGUCCAUUACUGACGCUGAGGUGCGAAAGCGUGGGGAGCGAACCGG
RNAcentral lists this ribosomal RNA (253 nucleotides) under uncultured bacterium. RNAcentral's name for it is "partial 16S ribosomal RNA". It matches the Rfam family "Bacterial small subunit ribosomal RNA", at positions 524 to 776 of the family's 1533-position model. The record is from RNAcentral.